GGAGGGGCUUCUCCUGGGGUCACCUUCUCAAGAAUCAGAGAAUCAGAGAAUCACAGUCAGAGAAUCACAGUCAUAGAAUCACAGAAUCACAGAGUCAGAGAAUCACAAAUCAGAGAAUCAGAGAAUCACAGAAUCAGAAUCACAGAAUCACAGUCACAGAAUCAGAGAAUCACAGUCAGAGAAUCACAGUCAGAGAAUCACAGUCAUAGAAUCACAGAAUCACAGUCAUAGAAUCACAGACUCACAGAAUCACAGAAUCACAGUCAUAGAAUCAGAGAAUCAGAGAAUCACAGACUCACAGAAUCACAAAAUCACAGAAUCACAGAAUCACAGUCAUAGAAUCACAGACUCACAGACUCACAGAAUCAGUCAUAGAAUCACAGAAUUAGAGAAUCAGUAUCACAGAAUCAGAGAAUCAGAGAAUCACAGAAUCAGAAUCAUAGAAUCAGAGAAUCAGAGUCAGAGAAUCAGAGAAUCAGAGAAUCACAGAAUCAGAAUCACAGUCAUAGAAUCACAGAAUCACAGAAUCACAGAAUCAGAGAAUCACAGAAUCAGAAUCACAGUCACAGAAUCACAGAAUCAGAGAAUCACAGACUCACAGAAUCACAAUCACAGAAUCAUAGAAUCACAGUCAUAGAAUCAGAAUCAUAGAAUCAGAGAAUCACAGAAUUACAGAGUCACAGAAUCACGGAAUCACAGAAUCAGAGAAUCACAGAAUCACAGUCAGAGAAUCAGAGAAUCACAGAAUCACAGUCAUAGAAUCAGAGAAUCAGAGAAUCAGUCACAGAAUCACAGAAUCAGAGAAUCAGAGAAUCACAGUCAUAGAAUCACAGACGCACAGAAUCAGAGAAUCACAGUCAUAGAAUCAGAGAAUCAGAGAAUCACAAAAUCACAAUCACAGAAUCACAGUCAUAGAAUCAGAGAAUCACAGAAUCAGAGAAUCACAGAAUCACAGACUCACAAUCACAGAAUCAGAGAAUCACAGUCACAAAAUCACAGAAUCAGAGAAUCACAGAAACAGGGAAUCACAGAAUCACAGAAUCAGAGAAUCCCAGAAUCAGCUGGGUUGGGAGGGACCUCUGAGAUCACCCAGUCCAACCCUUGAUCCAACCCCGCCGUGGUUCCCAGCCCAUGGCACUGAUGCCACAUCCAGUCUGUCCUUAAACACCUCCAGGGAUGGAGAAUCCACCCCCUCCCUGGGCAGACCAUUCCAAGGGCUGAGCACCCUCUCUGGAAA
RNAcentral lists this long non-coding RNA (1237 nucleotides) under Manacus vitellinus (golden-collared manakin). RNAcentral's name for it is "lncRNA (ENSMVIG00005001473.1)". The record is from RNAcentral. Lineage: Eukaryota; Metazoa; Chordata; Aves; Passeriformes; Pipridae.